GAUGAACGCUGGCGGCGUGCUUAACACAUGCAAGUCGAACGGAAAGGCCCAAGCUUGCUUGGGUACUCGAGUGGCGAACGGGUGAGUAACACGUGGGUGAUCUGCCCUGCACUUCGGGAUAAGCCUGGGAAACUGGGUCUAAUACCGGAUAGGACCACAUUUUGGAUGGUGUGGUGGGAAGUUUUUCGGUGUGGGAUGAGCUCGCGGCCUAUCAGCUUGUUGGUGGGGUAAUGGCCUACCAAGGCGUUGACGGGUAGCCGGCCUGAGAGGGUGUACGGCCACAUUGGGACUGAGAUACGGCCCAGACUCCUACGGGAGGCAGCAGUGGGGAAUAUUGCACAAUGGGCGCAAGCCUGAUGCAGCGACGCCGCGUGGGGGAUGACGGCCUUCGGGUUGUAAACUCCUUUCGCUAGGGACGAAGCGCAAGUGACGGUACCUGGAGAAGAAGCACCGGCUAACUACGUG
Molecule: ribosomal RNA, 465 nt
Filed under: uncultured bacterium
Lineage: Bacteria
Description: partial 16S ribosomal RNA
Rfam family: Bacterial small subunit ribosomal RNA
Source: RNAcentral